This is a small nucleolar RNA of Etheostoma spectabile (orangethroat darter), 137 nucleotides long. Lineage: Eukaryota; Metazoa; Chordata; Actinopteri; Perciformes; Percidae. The record is from RefSeq and is a predicted model, not a curated record.
UACGGCUCCUAUUGAAGCCGUCGGUGCUCUCCCGUAGCUGUGAACGGUCGACAGGAAGCUGGGAGGAAAACGUUCACCGACGGCCGCUGUUCAGUGUGAAAACAACUGCUCCAGCAACAAUGAGGGGGAGGACAUUU